Molecule: non-coding RNA, 25 nt
Filed under: Mus musculus (house mouse)
Lineage: Eukaryota; Metazoa; Chordata; Mammalia; Rodentia; Muridae
Source: RNAcentral
UGAUGGUACUGCAAUUGAUAAGGCC